GAUGAAGAACGCAGCGAAAUGCGAUAAGUAGUGUGAAUUGCAGAAUUCAGUGAAUCAUCGAAUCUUUGAACGCACAUUGCGCCCUUUGGUAUUCCAAAGGGCAUGCCUGUUCGAGCGUCAUUUGUACCCUCAAGCUUUGCUUGGUGUUGGGCGUCUUGUCUCUAGCUUUGCUGGAGACUCGCCUUAAAGUAAUUGGCAGCCGGCCUACUGGUUUCGGAGCGCAGCACAAGUCGCACUCUCUAUCAGCAAAGGUCUAGCAUCCAUUAAGCCUUUUUUUCAGCUUUUGACCUCGGAUCAGGUAGGGAUACCCGCUGAACUUAAGCAUAUCAAUAAGCGGAGGA
Molecule: unclassified non-coding RNA, 341 nt
Filed under: soil metagenome
Description: partial contains 5.8S ribosomal RNA, internal transcribed spacer 2, and large subunit ribosomal RNA
Rfam family: 5.8S ribosomal RNA (bases 1-120)
Source: RNAcentral